Molecule: transfer RNA, 76 nt
Filed under: Haemophilus influenzae
Lineage: Bacteria; Pseudomonadati; Pseudomonadota; Gammaproteobacteria; Pasteurellales; Pasteurellaceae
Also listed under: 16 other names
Description: tRNA-Lys(ctt)
Rfam family: tRNA
About the family: Transfer RNA (tRNA) molecules are approximately 80 nucleotides in length.
Source: RNAcentral
GGGUUGUUAGCUCAGUUGGUAGAGCAGCGGACUCUUAAUUCGUCGGUCGAGAGUUCGAGCCUCUCACAACCCACCA